Molecule: ribosomal RNA, 492 nt
Filed under: Pseudo-nitzschia cf. arenysensis
Lineage: Eukaryota; Bacillariophyta; Bacillariophyceae; Bacillariales; Bacillariaceae
Description: partial large subunit ribosomal RNA
Rfam family: Eukaryotic large subunit ribosomal RNA
Source: RNAcentral
AAGAACUAACUAGGAUUCCCUCAGUAACGGCGAGUGAAGCGGGACUAGCUCAGGAUGUGAAUCUGCGCUGUAUGGCGCCGAAUUGUGGUCUAUAGACUUUGACGUUAUCUGCCGGGCCAAGUUCCUUGGAAAAGGACAGCUGAGAGGGUGAGACUCCCGUCCGCCUGGUAGAGUGAGUCGUUGUCAACGAGUCGAGUUGUUUGGGAUUGCAGCUCUAAUUUGGUGGUAAAUUCCAUCUAAAGCUAAAUAUUGGUGGGAGACCGAUAGCGUACAAGUACCGUGAGGGAAAGAUGCAAAGAACUUUGAAAAGAGAGUUAAAGAGUACCUGAAAUUGCUGAAACGGAAGCGAAGGAAACCAGUGUUUGUUGGUUCAUAUUUCCCUGGCCACUUGUGGUUUGGGCGCUGUGAGCUUGCGUGGGUUUGCUUUGGUUGAUCCCUUUGGAAGAGCGCAGUCAGAGUUGAUGUCUGUUGCUAGCACUGGGUUUGACUAAU